UGGGGAAUUUUGGACAAUGGGGGCAACCCUGAUCCAGCAAUGCCGCGUGCGGGAAGAAGGCCUUCGGGUUGUAAACCGCUUUUGUCAGGGACGAAAAGGUGCUUGUGAAUAAUGAGCGCUGCUGACGGUACCUGAAGAAUAAGCACCGGCUAACUACGUGCCAGCAGCCGCGGUAAUACGUAGGGUGCAAGCGUUAAUCGGAAUUACUGGGCGUAAAGCGUGCGCAGGCGGUUGGGUAAGACAGAUGUGAAAUCCCCGGGCUUAACCUGGGAACUGCAUUUGUGACUGCUCGACUGGAGUAUGUCAGAGGGGGGUGGAAUUCCAAGUGUAGCAGUGAAAUGCGUAGAUAUUUGGAAGAACACCGAUGGCGAAGGCAGCCCCCUGGGGCAAAACUGACGCUCA
RNAcentral lists this ribosomal RNA (402 nucleotides) under uncultured Sutterellaceae bacterium. Its description in RNAcentral is "bacterial SSU rRNA". It matches the Rfam family "Bacterial small subunit ribosomal RNA", at positions 355 to 749 of the family's 1533-position model. Lineage: Bacteria; Pseudomonadati; Pseudomonadota; Betaproteobacteria; Burkholderiales; Sutterellaceae. The record is from RNAcentral.